AGUGAACGCUGGCGGUAGGCCUAACACAUGCAAGUCGAACGGCAGCACAGUAAGAGCUUGCUCUUACGGGUGGCGAGUGGCGGACGGGUGAGGAAUACAUCGGAAUCUACUUUUUCGUGGGGGAUAACGUAGGGAAACUUACGCUAAUACCGCAUACGACCUACGGGUGAAAGCAGGGGAUCUUCGGACCUUGCGCGAUUGAAUGAGCCGAUGUCGGAUUAGCUAGUUGGCGGGGUAAAGGCCCACCAAGGCGACGAUCCGUAGCUGGUCUGAGAGGAUGAUCAGCGACACUGGAACUGAGACACGGUCCAGACUCCUAAGGGAGGCAGCAGUGGGGAAUAUUGGACAAUGGGCGCAAGCCUGAUCCAGCCAGACCGCGUGGGUGAAGAAGGCGUUCGGGUUGUAAAGCCCUUUUGUUGGGAAAGAAAAGCAGCAGGUUAAUACCCCGCUGUUCUGACGGUACCCAAAGAAUAAGCACCGGCUAACUUCGUG
Molecule: ribosomal RNA, 492 nt
Filed under: uncultured bacterium
Lineage: Bacteria
Description: partial 16S ribosomal RNA
Rfam family: Bacterial small subunit ribosomal RNA
Source: RNAcentral